RNAcentral lists this ribosomal RNA (253 nucleotides) under uncultured bacterium. RNAcentral's name for it is "partial 16S ribosomal RNA". It matches the Rfam family "Bacterial small subunit ribosomal RNA", at positions 524 to 776 of the family's 1533-position model. The record is from RNAcentral.
UACGUAGGGGGCGAGCGUUGUCCGGAAUCAUUGGGCGUAAAGCGCGUGUAGGCGGCUCGGUAAGUCUGCUGUGAAAGUCCAGGGCUCAACCCUGGGAUGCCGGUGGAUACUGUCGAGCUCGAGUCCGGAAGAGGCGAGUGGAAUUCCUGGUGUAGCGGUGAAAUGCGCAGAUAUCAGGAGGAACACCAAUGGCGAAGGCAGCUCGCUGGGACGUGACUGACGCUGAGACGUGAAAGCGUGGGGAGCAAACAGG